GAUGAACGCUGGCGGCGUGCUUAACACAUGCAAGUCGAACGGAAAGGCUCCUGCUUGCAGGGGUACUCGAGUGGCGAACGGGUGAGUAACACGUGGGUGAUCUGCCCUGCACUUCGGGAUAAGCCUGGGAAACUGGGUCUAAUACCGGAUAGGACGAUGGUUUGGAUGCCAUUGUGGAAAGUUUUUCGGUGUGGGAUGAGCUCGCGGGCUAUCAGCUUGUUGGUGGGGUAAUGGCCUACCAAGGCGUCGACGGGUAGCCGGCCUGAGAGGGUGUACGGCCACAUUGGGACUGAGAUACGGCCCAGACUCCUACGGGAGGCAGCAGUGGGGAAUAUUGCACAAUGGGGGCAAGCGUGAUGCAGCGACGCCGCGUGGGGGAUGACGGCCUUCGGGUUGUAAACUCCUUUCGCUAGGGACGAAGCGCAAGUGACGGUACCUGGAGAAGAAGCACCGGCUAACUACGUG
This 465-nucleotide ribosomal RNA is filed under the name uncultured bacterium. Its description in RNAcentral is "partial 16S ribosomal RNA". It matches the Rfam family "Bacterial small subunit ribosomal RNA", at positions 28 to 507 of the family's 1533-position model. The record is from RNAcentral.